RNAcentral lists this ribosomal RNA (248 nucleotides) under uncultured bacterium. Its description in RNAcentral is "partial 16S ribosomal RNA". It matches the Rfam family "Bacterial small subunit ribosomal RNA", at positions 29 to 301 of the family's 1533-position model. The record is from RNAcentral.
AACGAACGCUGGCGGCAGGCUUAAUACAUGCAAGUCGAACGGGCGCAGCAAUGCGUCAGUGGCAGACGGGUGAGUAACACGUGGGAACCUUCCUCGUUGUACGGAACAACUCAGGGGAAACUUGAGCUAAUACCGUAUAAGUCCGAGAGGAGAAAGAUUUAUCGCAAUGAGACGGGCCCGCGUCGGAUUAGGUAGUUGGUGAGGUAACGGCUCACCAAGCCGACGAUCCGUAGCUGAUCUGAGAGGAU